RNAcentral lists this small RNA (2271 nucleotides) under Arabidopsis thaliana (thale cress). Lineage: Eukaryota; Viridiplantae; Streptophyta; Magnoliopsida; Brassicales; Brassicaceae. The record is from RNAcentral.
AAGCAGGACAAUGUAACUUCUCCAUUGACGUUUUGUCGACCCCAAAUUUUGACCUUUAAGUACUUUUUCGGGCAUUUUCGUGAUUUGGGCUAUAUUACGGACCCAAAAUUACUUGUUCAAGCAUUGUUUUCGAAUUUUUUCAUGCAUCAAAGCUCGUUAAGACUAGAUGGGGUAUCCCUACAUAGCGGGUGGGACCCACGGCGAAUGGUUCAUCAUGUCUUCAAAAAAGAAUAUAUACGAUUGCAUUGCAUAUACUAACGGAUGCGAUCAUACCAGCACUAAUGCACCGGAUCCCAUCAGAACUCCGCAGUCAAGCGUGCUUGGGCGAGAGUAGUACUAGGAUGGGUGACCUCCCGGGAAGUCCUCGUGUUGCAUCCCUCUUUUAUGUUUAACCUUUUUUUUUUUGGUUAAAACUUGAUGACUCCAUAACUUUUAGACCGUGAGGCCAAACUUGGCAUGUGAUACCUUUUCGGAAAGCCCAAAGACAGCCCUCCGACGAAAGAAGCAGGACAAUGGAACUUUUCCAUUGACUUUUUGUCGACCCCAAAUUUUGACCUUUAAGUACUUUUUCGGGCAUUUUCGUGAUUUGGGCUAUAUUACGGACCCAAAAUUACUUGUUCAAGCAUUGUUUUCGAAUUUUUUCAUGCAUCAAAGCUCGUUAAGACUAGAUGGGGGAUCCCUACAUAGCGGGUGGGACCCACGGCGAAUGGUUCAUCAAGUCUUCAAAAAAGAAUAUAUACGAUUGCAUUGCAUAUACUAACGGAUGCGAUCAUACCAGCACUAAUGCACCGGAUCCCAUCAGAACUCCGCUUUUAAGCGUGCUUGGGCGAGAGUAGUACUAGGAUGGGUGACCUCCCGGGAAGUCCUCGUGUUGCAUCCCUCUUUUAUGUUUAACCUUUUUUUUUUUGGUUAAAAUUUUAUGACUCCAUAACUUUUAGACCGUGAGGCCAAACUUGGCAUGUGAUACCUUUUCGGAAAGCCCAAAGACAGCCCUCCGACGAAAGAAGCAGGACAAUGGAACUUCUCCAUUGACGUUUUGUCGACCCCAAAUUUUGACCUUUAAGUACUUUUUCGGGCAUUUUCGUGAUUUGGGCUAUAUUACGGACCCAAAAUUACUUGUUCAAGCAUUGUUUUCGAAUUUUUUCAUGCAUCAAAGCUCGUUAAGACUAGAUGGGGUAUCCCUACAUAGCGGGUGGGACCCACGGCGAAUGGUUCAUCAAGUCUUCAAAAAAGAAUAUAUACGAUUGCAUUGCAUAUACUAACGGAUGCGAUCAUACCAGCACUAAUGCACCGGAUCCCAUCAGAACUCCGCAGUUAAGCGUGCUUGGGCGAGAGUAGUACUAGGAUGGGUGACCUCCCGGGAAGUCCUCGUGUUGCAUCCCUCUUUUAUGUUUAACCUUUUUUUUUUUGGUUAAAACUUUAUGACUCCAUAACUUUUAGACCGUGAGGCCAAACUUGGCAUGUGAUACCUUUUCGGAAAGCCCAAAGACAGCCCUCCGACGAAAGAAGCAGGACAAUGGAAGAUCUCCAUUGACGUUUUGUCGACCCCAAAUUUUGACCUUUAAGUACUUUUUCGGGCAUUUUCGUGAUUUGGGCUAUAUUACGGACCCAAAAUUACUUGUUCAAGCAUUGUUUUCGAAUUUUUUCAUGCAUCAAAGCUCGUUAAGACUAGAUGGGGGAUCCCUACAUAGCGGGUGGGACCCACGGCGAAUGGUUCAUCAAGUCUUCAAAAAAGAAUAUAUACGAUUGCAUUGCAUAUACUAACGGAUGCGAUCAUACCAGCACUAAUGCACCGGAUCCCAUCAGAACUCCGCAGUUAAGCGUGCUUGGGCGAGAGUAGUACUAGGAUGGGUGACCUCCCGGGAAGUCCUCGUGUUGCAUCCCUCUUUUAUGUUUAACCUUUUUUUUUUUGGUUAAAACUUUAUGACUCCAUAACUUUUAGACCGUGAGGCCAAACUUGGCAUGUGAUACCUUUUCGGAAAGCCCAAAGACAGCCCUCCGACGAAAGAAGCAGGACAAUGGAACUUCUCCAUUGACGUUUUGUCGACCCCAAAUUUUGACCUUUAAGUACUUUUUCGGGCAUUUUCGUGAUUUGGGCUAUAUUACGGACCCAAAAUUACUUGUUCAAGCAUUGUUUUCGAAUUUUUUCAUGCAUCAAAGCUCGUUAAGACUAGAUGGGGGAUCCCUACAUAGCGGGGUGGGACCCACGGCGAAUGGUUCAUCAUGUCUUCAAAAAAGAAUAUAUACGAUUGCAUUGCAUAUACUAACGGG